UGGGUUCGAGUCCCAGAGUGAACAUCAACUCUGAGAUGCAGGUACAUCCAGAUGACGAGUCUCGAAUA
This 68-nucleotide transfer RNA is filed under the name Schistosoma mansoni. The record is from RNAcentral. Lineage: Eukaryota; Metazoa; Platyhelminthes; Trematoda; Strigeidida; Schistosomatidae.